UACAGAGGGUGCGAGCGUUAAUCGGAAUUAUUGGGCGUAAAGCGCGCGCAGGUGGUUUCUUAAGUCUGAUGUGAAAGCCCACGGCUCAACCGUGGAGGGUCAUUGGAAACUGGGGAACUUGAGUGCAGAAGAGAAAAGCGGAAUUCCACGUGUAGCGGUGAAAUGCGUAGAGAUGUGGAGGAACACCAGUGGCGAAGGCGGCUUUUUGGUCUGUAACUGACGCUGAGGCGCGAAAGCGUGGGGAGCAAACAGG
RNAcentral lists this ribosomal RNA (253 nucleotides) under uncultured bacterium. RNAcentral's name for it is "partial 16S ribosomal RNA". It matches the Rfam family "Bacterial small subunit ribosomal RNA", at positions 524 to 776 of the family's 1533-position model. The record is from RNAcentral.